Molecule: ribosomal RNA, 376 nt
Filed under: uncultured delta proteobacterium
Lineage: Bacteria; Deltaproteobacteria
Description: bacterial SSU rRNA
Rfam family: Bacterial small subunit ribosomal RNA
Source: RNAcentral
AGGAAGCACCGGCUAACUCCGUGCCAGCAGCCGCGGUAAUACGGAGGGUGCAAGCGUUGUUCGGAAUUACUGGGCGUAAAGGGCGCGUAGGUGGCUAAUUAAGUCAGGUGUGAAAUCCUUCCGCUUAACGGGAGAAGUGCACUUGAAACUGCUUAGCUAGAGUACGGGAGAGGAAGGUGGAAUUCCUGGUGUAGAGGUGAAAUUCAUAGAUAUCGGGAAGAACACCGGUGGCGAAGGCGGCCUUCUGGCCCGUUACUGACGCUGAGGCGCGAAAGCGUGGGGAGCAAACAGGAUUAGAUACCCUGGUAGUCCACGCCGUAAACGUUGGGCACUAGGUGUGGGAGGUUUUUAUUCCUUCUUUGCCGAAGCUAACGCA